Molecule: ribosomal RNA, 550 nt
Filed under: uncultured archaeon
Lineage: Archaea
Description: partial 16S ribosomal RNA
Source: RNAcentral
GUGCUCCCCCGCCAAUUCCUUUAAGUUUCAGCCUUGCGACCGUACUUCCCAGGCGGUACGUUUCACGAUUUCUCUUCGGCACCUCGGUGACUCGUGGUCACCGAUACACCUAACGCACAUCGUUUACGGCUGGGACUACCCGGGUAUCUAAUCCGGUUUGCUCCCCCAGCUUUCGUCCCUCACUGUCGGAGCCGUCCUGGUGAGACGCCUUCGCCACAGGUGGUCCCCCAAGGAUUACAGGAUUUCACUCCUACCCCUGGAGUACCUCUCACCUCUUCCGGUCCCUAGUCUGCCAGUAUCCCUGAGACGCCUUCCGGUUAAGCCGGAAGAUUUCCCCAGAGACUUAACAAACCAGCUACGAACGCUUUAAGCCCAGUAAUAGUGGCCACCACUCGAGCCGCCGGUAUUACCGCGGCGGCUGGCACCGGUCUUGCCCGACCCUUUCUUCACCAGUUUUUUAAACUGGUGGACAGCCCGAUUUAACGGGCACUCAGAGUUCCCUUAUCACGGUUUCCCGCAUUGUAAAGUUUUCGCGCCUGCUGCACCCCGU